GGAAAUUAAGAAAAUGUUUCUUAACUUUUAACUAAAAAAACUAAGAACCGGUUCUUAAAGUCCUUAUUUAAGAACUGGUUCUUAGUUUUUUUAGUUAAAAGUUAAGAAACAUUUUCUUAAUUUCC
This 125-nucleotide microRNA precursor is filed under the name Brassica oleracea var. oleracea. Its description in RNAcentral is "MIR9563 microRNA precursor family". It matches the Rfam family "MIR9563 microRNA precursor family". Lineage: Eukaryota; Viridiplantae; Streptophyta; Magnoliopsida; Brassicales; Brassicaceae. The record is from Rfam by way of RNAcentral.